GACGAACGCUGGCGGCGUGCUUAACACAUGCAAGUCGAACGGAAAGGCCCUGCUUUUGUGGGGUGCUCGAGUGGCGAACGGGUGAGUAACACGUGAGUAACCUGCCCUUGACUUUGGGAUAACUUCAGGAAACUGGGGCUAAUACCGGAUAGGAGCUCCUGCUGCAUGGUGGGGGUUGGAAAGUUUCGGCGGUUGGGGAUGGACUCGCGGCUUAUCAGCUUGUUGGUGGGGUAGUGGCUUACCAAGGCUUUGACGGGUAGCCGGCCUGAGAGGGUGACCGGCCACAUUGGGACUGAGAUACGGCCCAGACUCCUACGGGAGGCAGCAGUGGGGAAUAUUGCACAAUGGGCGGAAGCCUGAUGCAGCAACGCCGCGUGCGGGAUGGCGGCCUUCGGGUUGUAAACCGCUUUCGCCUGUGACGAGGCGUGAGUGACGGUAAUGGGUAAAGAAGCACCGGCUAACUACGUG
Molecule: ribosomal RNA, 468 nt
Filed under: uncultured bacterium
Lineage: Bacteria
Description: partial 16S ribosomal RNA
Rfam family: Bacterial small subunit ribosomal RNA
Source: RNAcentral